UUUUUUAACCUUCUCUCUCCUCAAAGACGAGCUUCAGACUCUCUCUCCUCAAAGACAAGCUUCAAACUUCCUUCUCCAAAUCGAUUUCGAAAUAAGCCCUAGAUUGAAACUAAAUUUUCACAAAACCUUCGAACGAAGAACGAAGCCCUAGAAUCUUCACAAAUCGAGCUUUCUUUUUCCAGAUCUCAAGUGCAGAAGAAAUCGCGCCCUAGAAUCGAAACACUAAAGAAAUCGGACUUCGAAGUCUUCACAAAUCGGUAAGCCCUUUAUGGAUUAAGCUAUUUAUUUUCUAGGGCUAGCACCACAAUUUUUGUUAAUGUUAAACCUGUAAACUAUGAGAAGGAGACGAUGAUAACUCUGUUGUAGCUUAUAAUUGGAAUCUAGAUGUGAAACCCAUAAUUUCAAAAAAUAUGAUUCUCCCCUGCCAUCUUUUGCAAGGUUAUUGCUCUUCUGUUAGUAUACAUACAUAUAAAGUCUAGCAUAAGAUAUUCAUGCUCCUUUAAUUAUUACCCAAAAAUGAUGGCUCGUUUUGUGUAUAGGAUAUUGUUUAAUUUAAAGAGCAUUUCAGUGUUUAUUUUGUAUUAACAAGACGUUUGUAAUUAGAGUAGUUGCAUCCUCUAGUCACUUAUACCAGGUGGAGGAAUGUUGCACCGGUUGAGAGAACAGAUGUUUGUAGUGUUGAUAUAGUUUUUGAGUCAAUGCCUUGCAUACUUUGAUUAUCCCAAUCUUUAACUUCUGAUAUUAUAUCCACUGGCUUCAUUUAUACUCUUUUUGACAUAGUUAUGAAUAAUUUGUAAAUGUUGACUAGGACUCCCCUUUGACUAUUUCUCAUUUGUAUAGUAGUAUUAUUGGUAAUUCUGUAUUGUAAUGAUGAGCUAAAGUAACCUUUUCUUUUGGUUACAUAUAUAAAAAUAAUACCACCAACAUUAUCUUGUAUCCACAUUCGCUCCCCAGCACAUCAAUUUUCUUCAAUACUCUCUCAACAAUAUAAUUAGUCUUGAUUUUAAUCAUAGCAGAAUAACAUUAUCUAGGAGUUCCAUCUUUGUUGUGUGGCAAUGGUAAGUUCUCUCUGAUAAUAGUUCCUUAAUUUAGGAGGCAUCAUAUCUUUCCUGAAUACAUGGGAAUUCUUCUUGAAGUUUUUAAAUUUUUAUGAAUUUACUGUGAUUGUUUUAUUGGUCACUAUUAUGACGUACCUGUUGUAAAUGCAAACAUUUAAUCUUUAGGCAUUCAUAUCCAUUUCAAUUGAAUCUUAUUGUCAACUUAAAUCUUGACAUAAAUGUUACACCGAAUAGAGUCAACUUAAAUGGCCGCAGUUAAUCACUAUCAUUGCCACUGCCCAGCUAUAUUGAUAACUUCUUGGACUGAUUUAAAUCCUGAUCUUCGAUUCUAUGGAUGUCAAAUUGCAAGAGUUUGUGCAUAUAAAAAAAUUCUUUGUGGGUAUUUCAUAUGGUAUGAUCCUCCGAUGCAGUCGAGAGCCAUUCAAGUGAUACAUGGUCUGUUAAGGAGGUUGAGGGCUUUUGAAAAUGAAGCUUAAAAUUUUUGACGCAAACAGAGUAUUUACUGGGUAAUCAUAUGGGUUUCCUUGAUUUUGUUACUUUGGAAUUUCUUUGGAAUCAUCUCUGUGCAAGAAGUUGCCUAAAUAGGAAAAAUUUGUAAUUAGAAUUUGGGAGAUGAAGCAGUUAGGAUGUGUAAAGUCCCUAUUUUAAAUGUAAUGAAUUGAUUGUAAUCAAGUUUUGGUGUACUAUGUUUUUUAAAUUUAGUUUGGACCAUGAAAAUACCCUUUGAGCACUCAUCCUAACUAACAUUUUACCAUGGAAAUGAGCUUUUGGGUUAUGUAAAUUUAUAAGAAAUAUCUGAGAAUCAUUACUUAAUUACUUCCUAUUAAGUUCAAUUACUAUUAUUUUUUUGUAUGGAUUUUUUACUCCUAUUUUUACUUGUGUGAGACCAUUAGAA
RNAcentral lists this long non-coding RNA (1953 nucleotides) under Panax ginseng (ginseng). RNAcentral's name for it is "long non-coding RNA (PGIN_LNC011401)". Lineage: Eukaryota; Viridiplantae; Streptophyta; Magnoliopsida; Apiales; Araliaceae. The record is from RNAcentral.